UCCACGCCGUAAACGAUGGAUACUCGGUGUGUGGUUUUCGGACUGCGUGCCUUAGCGAAAGCGUUAAGUAUCCCACCUGGGGAGUACGUCGGCAACGAUGAAACUCAAAGGAAUUGACGGGGGUCCGCACAAGCGGUGGAGUAUGUGGUUUAAUUCGAUGAUACGCGAGGAACCUUACCUAGGCUCGAAUUGUACUGGACGGUAUUAGAAAUAGUACUUCCUUCGGGUCAGUA
Molecule: ribosomal RNA, 233 nt
Filed under: uncultured bacterium
Lineage: Bacteria
Description: partial 16S ribosomal RNA
Rfam family: Bacterial small subunit ribosomal RNA
Source: RNAcentral